GACGAACGCUGGCGGCGUGCUUAACACAUGCAAGUCGAACGGCAGGGCCCUGCUUUUGUGGGGUGCUCGAGUGGCGAACGGGUGAGUAACACGUGAGUAACCUGCCCUUGACUUUGGGAUAACUUCAGGAAACUGGGGCUAUACCGGAUAGGAGCUCCUGCUGCAUGGUGGGGGUUGGAAAGUUUCGGCGGUUGGGGAUGGACUCGCGGCUUAUCAGCUUGUUGGUGGGGUAGUGGCUUACCAAGGCUUUGACGGGUAGCCGGCCUGAGAGGGUGACCGGCCACAUUGGGACUGAGAUACGGCCCAGACUCCUACGGGAGGCAGCAGUGGGGAAUAUUGCACAAUGGGCGGAAGCCUGAUGCAGCAACGCCGCGUGCGGGAUGACGGCCUUCGGGUUGUAAACCGCUUUCGCCUGUGACGAAGCGUGAGUGACGGUAAUGGGUAAAGAAGCACCGGCUAACUACGUG
RNAcentral lists this ribosomal RNA (467 nucleotides) under uncultured bacterium. Its description in RNAcentral is "partial 16S ribosomal RNA". It matches the Rfam family "Bacterial small subunit ribosomal RNA", at positions 28 to 507 of the family's 1533-position model. The record is from RNAcentral.